GUGCUCACUUCUGCAGCACAUAUACUAAAAUUGGAACGAUAGAGAGAAGAUUAGCAUGGCCCCUGCGCAAGGAUGACACGCAAAUUUGUGAAGUGUUCCAUAUUUUU
Molecule: small nuclear RNA, 107 nt
Organism: Carlito syrichta (Philippine tarsier)
Lineage: Eukaryota; Metazoa; Chordata; Mammalia; Primates; Tarsiidae
Source: Ensembl